RNAcentral lists this unclassified non-coding RNA (362 nucleotides) under soil metagenome. RNAcentral describes it as "partial contains 5.8S ribosomal RNA, internal transcribed spacer 2, and large subunit ribosomal RNA". The stretch from base 1 to 120 matches the Rfam family "5.8S ribosomal RNA", at positions 35 to 154 of the family's 154-position model. The record is from RNAcentral.
GAUGAAGAACGUAGCGAAAUGCGAUAAGUAAUGUGAAUUGCAGAAUUCAGUGAAUCAUCGAAUCUUUGAACGCACCUUGCGCUCCUUGGUAUUCCGAGGGGCAUGCCUGUUUGAGUGUCAUUAAUAUAUCAACCUUCUCUUUUUUGAGUUGUUUGGAUGUGGGGGUUUGCUGGCCUCUUAAAUGAUUCAGCUCCCCUGAAAUGCAUUAGCAGAACAACCUGUUCAUUGGCGUGAUAAUUAUCUAUGCUAUUGAAUGUGAGGGCAGUUCAGCUUUCUAACCGUCCUUGGACAAUUCAUCAUUAAUGUGACCUCAAAUCAGGUAGGACUACCCGCUGAACUUAAGCAUAUCAAUAAGCGGAGGA